This is a long non-coding RNA of Populus euphratica (Euphrates poplar), 585 nucleotides long. RefSeq lists it as uncharacterized. NCBI's taxonomy places the organism in Eukaryota, Viridiplantae, Streptophyta, Magnoliopsida, Malpighiales, Salicaceae. The transcript has 2 exons. The record is from RefSeq and is a predicted model, not a curated record.
CUCCAAUCCUUCCACGUAUCUAUUCUAGUUUCUCUUUCAUAUAUAUCCCUCCCUUCUCUCGAUCUGUAUCUGACCGCCCUUUUUGUUAGUCUGAUUGAUCAUCAUUGAAAGCAAGCCUUUCGUACUUGGAAAGAGAAGAAAUAUGUCUUCGUUGGGGACAUCAAAGGGGAUCUUGGAGUUUGCUAAAUUCGGCGUUUAUGUGACCGUUCCCGUUGUUCUUAUGUACGCUUUCGCUAACAAUACAAAGAAUCUCCAGAAAUUCAUGGGAAAUCGUUCAUACAUAGUGUUCCCUUCAAAGAUAGUAAGACCUCCAUCACCAGAAGAGAUGAGGGAAAGGGCCCGAGAAUUGGGUCGCAGGAAGGAUACUCAUUGAUGCUGACUGCAAGUCACCAUUGUAGCCUCGCAGGUUUUUUUUUUUUUGGUUUCCUACCAACAACAUAUAUGUAAUAUGCAGCUGUAUGCUCUGUGGAUUUUGUUUCAGCAAUUAAAUAAUUUUUCCUGUUUGGAGAAGUAUUAGAUGAAUGCUGUGGAUGAUAUACCACCCACAUAAAACUGACUUGAUGAGGGAUGAAUUUCCUUGCAGUA